GAACGUGCCUSAGAGUAACUGUUCACGCAGUSACGGUAUCCAACCAGAAAGUCACGGCUAACUACGUGCCAGCAGCCGCGGUAAUACGUAGGUCGCAAGCGUUAUCCGGAUUUAUUGGGCGUAAAGCGAGCGCAGGCGGUUGCUUAGCGUCUGAUGUGAACCUUCGGCUUAACCGAAGAAGUGCAUCGGAAACCGGGCGACUUGAGUGCAGAAGAGGACAGUGGAACUCCAUGUGUAGCGGUGGAAUGCGUAGAUAUAUGGAAGAACACCAGUGGCGAAGGCGGCUGUCCGGUCUGCAACUGACGCUGAGGCUCGAAAGCAUGGGUAGCGAACAGGAUWAGAUACCCUGGUAGUCCAUGCCGUAAACGAUGAGUGCUAGGUGUUGGAGGGUUUCCGCCCUUCAGUGCCGGAGUAACGCAUUAAGCACUCCGCCUGGGGAGUACGACCGCAAGG
Molecule: ribosomal RNA, 453 nt
Filed under: uncultured bacterium
Lineage: Bacteria
Description: bacterial SSU rRNA
Rfam family: Bacterial small subunit ribosomal RNA
Source: RNAcentral